This 314-nucleotide transfer-messenger RNA is filed under the name bacterium. It matches the Rfam family "transfer-messenger RNA". Rfam says of the family: Bacterial tmRNA, also known as 10Sa RNA or SsrA, is named for its dual tRNA and mRNA-like properties. Its role is to liberate the mRNA from a stalled ribosome. The record is from RNAcentral.
GGGGAUGACGGGCUUCGACGGAUAUCGCUCUUCAAAAAUUGCAAGCCGAGGAGGCACACUCGUGAACUGUGUCAAAAUCUAUAACUGCCAACAGAAAUGUUGCGUUAGCAUACGCCUAAUAGGCGAAUGCCAUCGGCGCGCCAAUGCCCUUGCGGCGCAUCACCGGUGUUAUACACAGGGACCGUGUUGCUGAGACGUUCUGGUAGGCAACAUUAAACACAAGAGCAAAUCGUCCUAGAUUUUCUAGAACUAUGCUUGUAGACGUUUUCGAAGAAAAUAUUCGGAUGUGAGUUCAACUCUCACCAUCUCCACAA